GGCAGCAGUAGGGAAUAUUGGGCAAUGGGCGCGAGCCUGACCCAGCCAUGCCGCGUGCCGGAUGAAGGCCUUCUGGGUUGUAAACGGCUUUUCUCAGGGAAGAAAAAGACCAUGCGUGGUACACUGACGGUACCUGGGGAAUAAGCACCGGCUAACUCCGUGCCAGCAGCCGCGGUAAUACGGAGGGUGCAAGCGUUGUCCGGAUUUAUUGGGUUUAAAGGGUGCGUAGGUGGCCUGUUAAGUCCGGGGUGAAAGCCCACAGCUCAACUGUGGAACUGCCCUGGAUACUGGCGGGCUUGAGUCCAGACGAGGUUGGCGGAAUGGAUGCUGUAGCGGUGAAAUGCAUAGAUAGCAUCCAGAACCCCGAUUGCGUAGGCAGCUGACUAGGCUGGUACUGACACUGAGGCACGAAAGCGUGGGGAGCGAACAGGAUUAGAUACCCUGGUAGUCCACGCCGUAAACGAUGGAUACUCGCUGGCAGCGAUACACUGUUGCUGGCUUAGCGAAAGCGGUAAGUAUCCCACCUGGGGAGUACGCUCGCAAGAGUGAAACUCAAAGGAAU
RNAcentral lists this ribosomal RNA (562 nucleotides) under uncultured bacterium. Its description in RNAcentral is "bacterial SSU rRNA". It matches the Rfam family "Bacterial small subunit ribosomal RNA", at positions 347 to 910 of the family's 1533-position model. The record is from RNAcentral.